UUAGAUUCAGUCGAGAGAGCGAUGAGAGAGAAGGCGAAGAGAGAGAGGGGAGAGAAGAGAGAGAAAUUUUGAAUCAUAUCAUGUAAAAUGAAAAAAUAAAAGGUUCAGCAAAGCACUAAUGUAACAAUAUCGAAAUUCCUUACUAUAUAAUAGGAGAGGGGAGAUAAACAAAAAUGAAAAAGAUGAAGAAAAAGGAAAGAAUGGGAAAAAAAUGUCAGUCCAAUGGGUAUGAAAUGUAAUUCUAAACUGAUUGUUGAUAUCUUAGAAAGCAAGUUCAAUCCUCCUUGGCACAUAAUCUGAGACAUAAAAUUAUCAAGAAC
Molecule: long non-coding RNA, 320 nt
Filed under: Nicotiana benthamiana
Lineage: Eukaryota; Viridiplantae; Streptophyta; Magnoliopsida; Solanales; Solanaceae
Description: long non-coding RNA (NBEN_LNC026639)
Source: RNAcentral